GGUCCUACGGGAGGCAGCAGUGAGGAAUAUUGGUCAAUGGGCGAGAGCCUGAACCAGCCAAGUCGCGUGAGGGAAGACGGCCCUACGGGUUGUAAACCUCUUUUGUCAGGGAGCAAGAACGGAUACGUGUAUCCGAGCGAGAGUACCUGAAGAAAAAGCAUCGGCUAACUCCGUGCCAGCAGCCGCGGUAAUACGGAGGAUGCGAGCGUUAUCCGGAUUUAUUGGGUUUAAAGGGUGCGUAGGCGGCGCUUCAGGUCAGCGGUGAAAUACCGGGGCUCAACCCCGGGGCUGCCGUUGAAACCGGG
RNAcentral lists this ribosomal RNA (305 nucleotides) under uncultured bacterium. Its description in RNAcentral is "bacterial SSU rRNA". It matches the Rfam family "Bacterial small subunit ribosomal RNA", at positions 335 to 637 of the family's 1533-position model. The record is from RNAcentral.